UGGCGCGGUAGCUCAGUCGGUAGAGCGUCCGCCUGAAAAGUGGAAGGUCACCAGUUCGAUCCUGGUCCGUGCCACC
This 76-nucleotide transfer RNA is filed under the name Corynebacterium pseudotuberculosis. RNAcentral describes it as "tRNA-Phe". It matches the Rfam family "tRNA". From Rfam's summary of the family: Transfer RNA (tRNA) molecules are approximately 80 nucleotides in length. The record is from RNAcentral. Lineage: Bacteria; Bacillati; Actinomycetota; Actinomycetes; Mycobacteriales; Corynebacteriaceae.